AUGGUGAAAUGCUUCCUGCUGCUCGCCUUCUUGGCGUUUCUCCUGCCGGCGGCCUAUGCGACGUGCCACCCUGACGACCUUCAAACGCCGCGGGGCUUCGCUGGGAAGUUGACACUACUCAGGGGCCUCACCGUUGUCGAUCGUUCACUAGGUAUUGCUUUCUCUAACUUGCUAUUUGCCAGAUCUGGAAGUGGCAACAUUGUAUCUGGGAGCGGCAACACUGUUGUAUCUGGGGACAACAACAAUGUUUCUGGGAGCAACAACACAGUCACAUCUGGGAGCAGCAAUGUCAUACUUGACACCAACCAUGUCGUAACUGGGAGCAACAAUACUGUAUCCGGCAAUAACAAUAGGGUAAAUGGGAACAAUAAUGUUGUAUCUGGGAGCAACCAAGUCGUGUUCGGGGACAACAAAGUCGUAACUGGCUAA
Molecule: ribosomal RNA, 429 nt
Filed under: Triticum aestivum (bread wheat)
Lineage: Eukaryota; Viridiplantae; Streptophyta; Magnoliopsida; Poales; Poaceae
Description: partial small subunit ribosomal RNA
Source: RNAcentral